This is a long non-coding RNA of Mustela lutreola (European mink), 1408 nucleotides long. RefSeq lists it as uncharacterized. The record is from RefSeq and is a predicted model, not a curated record. NCBI's taxonomy places the organism in Eukaryota, Metazoa, Chordata, Mammalia, Carnivora, Mustelidae. The transcript has 3 exons.
GCUCCAGAGGGCCUGUGGGGGAGGGGGUGAUGUCUCAUCCCCCUUCCCAGGCAGUGGAGGCCUUGAGCCUCAGGAGGGCCCAGCAGAGAGGCUGGACAUCCUAUGAGCCAUUAGUGGGAAUGGAAGGCUGGUGGUGGGAAGUGGGAGCUGGUGGUGGCAGCAGGAUGCCCGGGGGAUGGCAGCUUGAGCUUCCCAGGCGCGUGACCUGUUCCUGAACCUGGCUCUGUGUCCGGCCAACCCCAAAGAAUCCCAGUGUUUUGGAGCUGAUGGGCUUGUAGGCACCACAGAGCCUGACUCUCUUUCCCCUUGUGCUUUUCCCGUGAGAAAGUGGAAGGUUGCCACGCUGGGAGUGCGAGGCAGGGCCCACCUUCUGCUCAGCCUCAGUCGGCCAGGAGGGGCGGGAGCCAUAUGAAAAGAGUCUUUCUGAAGACACCUCUUGGUCCAUACCUGGAGUAAUUACUGCUUAGCUGCUCGAUACAGUGCAGCUCUUCUCUCCCGUAAUCCACCCGGCAACUCUGGAAACCCACAACGAUGAACUCUCUGGUAGGUGAAGAAAUGGAUGCCCCAGAAGGGCUAAAAGGACCACAAAACAACCACACUAGCUGAGCUUUGACUGUACGCCAGGCUCACAAUAGCCCUAGGAAGCUGGCUUUAUUCCUAUCCGGAUUGUGCAGGAGAAACCAGGGCUCAGAGAUGCGAGGCCCUGUUCGGAGAAGUCUACCCCUCUAACCAUGUUGCCAGAAGUCUUUCUUCUCCGGAUGGGGACUUGGAUGGGGACUUGCAGGAUCCCACCUGGGACACCACAUUCCAAUUAGUCAUUGGAUCUCCUUGAGCUCCUCUGGGCCAGCAAAAUUUCUCAGACUUCCCUUGUUUUUGAUGGAGGACUGGUAUUUGGUAGAUGGUCCCUUGACUGGGGUUUAUCUGAUGAUUUUCUGGUGAUUCAGCUGGGGUUAUGGGUUUUGGGAAGCACGGAGGUAAAUUGUCCCUCAUUACAUCAUAUCAAGAGCAUGACUUACCACUGUUGCCAUUGACCUUGAUCAUUCAACUGAGGCGGCAUUGGUCAGGUGUCUUACCCUCCUGUCUCCUUCCAUACCGUCCUCCUUGGAAGGAAAUCAUCAUGUGUAGCCCACUUAAGGUGUGGGGAGUUAUUCUGUUGGGAGAAUAUCUCCAUAAAUUACUUGGGAUUCUUCUGCUCAGGUCAUGUGAAUGACCCACUUUUUGGCCAUUCAACUUUGCCCUGUGUUGGACAAGCCUACUGUGGUUUAGAUGUAGUCAUGAAUUCCAGCAAAUGGAAAAAAAAAAAACCAACAACAACAACCAAAAAUGUCCAUAAGGCCAAGGUGCUGCCUGAUGACCGAUAGAUGGAGUCCUACAAAAAAAUAGAUUAAAAAAAAAAACAACAAAAAAA